RNAcentral lists this long non-coding RNA (335 nucleotides) under Elaeis guineensis (African oil palm). RNAcentral's name for it is "long non-coding RNA (EGUI_LNC059127)". Lineage: Eukaryota; Viridiplantae; Streptophyta; Magnoliopsida; Arecales; Arecaceae. The record is from RNAcentral.
AUUCGUAUAAAAAUAUGUUACGACAUCAUUGAUAGUACAUAUGGAGGUUAGCCAAAUUCUAUGGCCUAGAGAUUGAUGUCCCAUCAAGCUAUUUGAGCCUGUAAGUCUCAGGGCGUGCUACUUCGUCCACCUGAUAAGGGCCUUCCUAGUUGGGUGACAGCUUCCCUUGCUCAGUGGUUUGUGACACCUCGGCCCACCAUAACACCAGAUCGCCAGCACGAAAUUUCUUUAGUUUAACUCGAGAAUUAUAAUACCUAGCCACUCUUUGAUCGUAGGUAGCCAUUCUUACGACAACGCGCUCUCUGCUCUCUUCAAUUUAGUUGGGGUUAGCCUAU